CGGGCCGGGGGAGAGAAGGAGAGAGAGAAGGGGAUCUGGGGAAAGGAGAAAAGUGGGAGGAGAGAGAGAAAAGUGGGAAGGGUAGGGGGUAAAGAGCACCCCAUAAGCAAAAUAAGCAGCUCCAAACUUGCUUAUUUGCUUAUGCAUAAGCAACUUAUAAGCAACUCUAUAAGCAAGAGUGUUUGGGUUAUAAGCAACUUAUUUGCUUAUUUAUAAGUUGCUUAUUUAUAAGCAAUGCUAACCAAACAGGCCCUAAGCCUAAUUAGUCCAUGAUUUGAC
RNAcentral lists this long non-coding RNA (279 nucleotides) under Setaria viridis. Its description in RNAcentral is "long non-coding RNA (SVIR_LNC004132)". The record is from RNAcentral. Lineage: Eukaryota; Viridiplantae; Streptophyta; Magnoliopsida; Poales; Poaceae.